UACGUAGGGUGCAAGCGUUGUCCGGAAUUAUUGGGCGUAAAGAGCUCGUAGGCGGUCUGUCGCGUCGAAUGUGAAAACCCGGGGCUCAACCCCGGGCCUGCAUUCGAUACGGGCAGACUAGAGUUCGGUAGGGGAGUCUGGAAUUCCUGGUGUAGCGGUGAAAUGCGCAGAUAUCAGGAGGAACACCGGUGGCGAAGGCGGGACUCUGGGCCGAUACUGACGCUGAGGAGCGAAAGCGUGGGGGAGCAAACAGG
Molecule: ribosomal RNA, 254 nt
Filed under: uncultured bacterium
Lineage: Bacteria
Description: partial 16S ribosomal RNA
Rfam family: Bacterial small subunit ribosomal RNA
Source: RNAcentral